RNAcentral lists this ribosomal RNA (301 nucleotides) under uncultured bacterium. RNAcentral describes it as "partial 16S ribosomal RNA". It matches the Rfam family "Bacterial small subunit ribosomal RNA", at positions 509 to 807 of the family's 1533-position model. The record is from RNAcentral.
CAGCCGCCGCGGUAAUACGUAGGGUGCGAGCGUUGUCCGGAAUUAUUGGGCGUAAAGAGCUUGUAGGCGGUUUGUCGCGUCUGCUGUGAAAAUUCAGGGCUUAACCCUGGACGUGCAGUGGGUACGGGCAGACUAGAGUGUGGUAGGGGAGACUGGAAUUCCUGGUGUAGCGGUGGAAUGCGCAGAUAUCAGGAGGAACACCGAUGGCGAAGGCAGGUCUCUGGGCCAUUACUGACGCUGAGAAGCGAAAGCAUGGGGAGCGAACAGGAUUAGAUACCCCCGUAGUCCCUGUCUCUUAUAC